AUACGAAGGGGGCUAGCGUUGUUCGGAAUUACUGGGCGUAAAGCGCGCGUAGGCGGAUUGGUCAGUUAGGGGUGAAAUCCCAGGGCUUAACCCUGGAACUGCCCCUAAUACUGCCAGUCUUGAGUUCGGGAGAGGUGAGUGGAAUUCCUAGUGUAGAGGUGAAAUGCGUAGAUAUUAGGAAGAACACCAGUGGCGAAGGCGGCUCACUGGCCCGAUACUGACGCUGAGGCGCGAAAGCGUGGGGAGCAAACAGGAUUAGAAACCCUAGUAGUCC
This 274-nucleotide ribosomal RNA is filed under the name uncultured bacterium. Its description in RNAcentral is "partial 16S ribosomal RNA". It matches the Rfam family "Bacterial small subunit ribosomal RNA", at positions 523 to 796 of the family's 1533-position model. The record is from RNAcentral.